UUUUCGAAAUUCGGAAAAAGAAAUUUUGAAUUCCAAUUCCAAAAUUUUCCCCCCCAUAGCCUAUUUUCAUCCAUCUAUUGUACCCUUUUUUGUUAUUUCUCAUGAAAUCCAAAAAUGGAGUAGCCAAUAGAAAGCACUUCUUCCCAAGAACCAAUGAGAAAUCUCCACCAACGUACGAAUUCGUACCAUGGUACCCGAGAUUUGUGGGAUUUGAACGUUGGGGUGAGCCAACUCACCCAUUUCUAGAAGCUUUCUUGAAUUUCCAUGGCAAACACAUGCCAUCUAAGCGGGUCGAAGUCGGGUCGACGUUGGUGUUGUUGUUUCGGGUAUGGGAGACGGGUUAACUGGUUGUUGAUAUUGUUGGGUUCUGAAUUUGCAAUGUUGCCAUUGUUUUCGAUCGGAGUGGAGGUGUAAGCGUUGUUCACUGUUUUGGUUGAGAUUAAAAGACUGUCGAUGUUAUUGCUGGUUUGUUUUAUGGUGAUUAUACGCUGAUUAAGGGAAAGUGAGAGGAGGAUUGGACCGAAUCAAGAUCUAUUGGGCUUUAGUAGGUGCAGACGGAUUUGGGCUUGAUACCUUUUUAAUUAAUUAAAAGGGAGUUGCUGACAUGCAAAUUUGGGCCAUCGAUUUGGGCCGUUAAAUUGGUUAAGUUUUGUGGUAUUGGGUAGAUUGUGGGAUUACUUAGAAAAAUAACAUCAAUUUUAAUUCAGUUCAUUCUAUUUAAAUUUUAACCAUAUCAAAAGUCAAUUGGCCAAUUGUAUUGCAAUUAUGACCCAUUUAGUUUCAAUUAUGGUCAAAUUCAAUAGCUUGGCUAAAUUAAAAUAAAUCUCGAUAUAAAUUAAUACCUCUUUUAAUCCCAAGUUUCUUGAUUUAAUAAAAUCAAAAAAAUAUAUAUCCAAAUAAAUUAUUUGAGAAUAAUUUUUUUUUAAAUCAAGACUUUAAUUAUUUAUUUAUUUUUCAAAUAAUCCUUAAUUUAAAGCCCAAGGUGAUGAAAAUGUUCAUUUAAAUGACAUCAUUUAUACAAUCUCGUAUAUGCAAAUACAAAAAUAUAUAAUUAUCACUUAAAUGACAAAAUUAGCCCAAAUACCUAUUUUAAAAUGCAUUUAUUUGGAAAAAUAAUUGUUGUGAUCUUAUUUGAAAAUCAAAGAAGUUUGAGAUUAAAUGUAGUUGUGGAGGGAAAAAAUUAGGUGUCAACAACUGCCCCCUCCCUUUGGAUAGGAUGGAUGCAAGUAAUCCUGGGCAAAGGGAGGUUGACGUUCCUAAUUUUUGUCCGACCAUAAAUUUGUAUCUAAGAGAGGUUGGUUUGCCGCACAAGUUUCAUGGUGUUAUGGCCGAACCUCGGUAUCAGGUUUCCUACAUAUCUCAGGUUUCAUGAGAAUUCAGGCCACUUGUAGUUCAUAAAGCUUGAUUUUCAAGAAAAUACACCAACUAUCAUGGUUUUAGAAUGCUUCGGUUAAAUCAGGAAGCUGGGGAAUAAAGGGAUUUAGGGGGAGAUUGGAAUGCAGUUGAGUUUUCUACAUAGAGCCCAACCCACAUAUCCCCGAGACUCAAGGAAUCAUACUGCUUGUAGUUCGACUUAAUUGGUAGAAAAGAUAGUCUUUUAUUUUAGACGAUCUUUAGCUUGGUAUGAGUGACGAGUUAAUUGAGUUGCGGAAAAGAGGCUUGUAACCUCUUAACCAUGAAUGUGGAGCUCUUCACAUCCAUAGGUAAGAACUUACGUAAGCAUAAUUUCCAAAACUCUAAGUGUGUUGCCACAUGAAUUUGAAAGAAAAAGAAAGUUCCCGUCAGUAUGAGUUAACAAACAUCCCAGAGGUAAAGGUGAGACCAGAAUAUUCGAAAAAUACCCACAUGCCUUCUAAUAGAGGUGUGGUUAAAUGGUGGUAGUGAUCAUUAUUUAGUUCGCGUCUAGAGAGUUUGACAUCCCUCUCCAGACUAUGUCCCGUUUUGCUGCUGAGAAAGAGUUCCACGUUGUGUUGCGUCCUUUUUGGAGUCGUCCACACCUAUGGUUUUGAUUUGAGAUUUUCAUCCUCUCGGAUGCUCUCAACAAUACUUCAGGCAAAAAGUGUUAGUUUUAAACAUAAUUCACAAAAGAGGUAAGUAAUCUUUUACCAUAUCUCCACGUGAGUUGUGGCCUGAAAAAGCAAAGUCAUCCUUUAUUGUACCUGUUUGAUGGGAAAUAACUUGUAAUAAUAGACACAACAACCUCCUUGGUUGUUGUAUAAUUAGCUCAUCUGUCGAGCGAAUAUGUUUUCAAAGUGGGGUGGCCCUUUUGGUUACCUAUAUCACUUGUUGUAUGUGGCAUUAUAACCUCUCCGGUUGUAGCCGAUGAUCGAUUUAUAAAUUUUUCCUAAAUUAGUCAAUCUUUAGAUGUUCUUGCACAUUAUUUGAUGUUGGAUACGAGGCGACUUACAGAUAUCCUUUGAAUUUCUAGCUUUUAGGUAAUCCUACACAUCAUCCGACUUUGGAUAAGAGAUGACUUACAGAUAUCCCUCCAAUCGCUAGCUUUCAGGUGUUCCUGCACAUCAUCCGACCUUGGAUACAAUAUGACUUAUAGAUAAUCCCUCAAAUUGAUCGUCUUUGGGUAAUCCUGCACAUAAUCGAUCUUGGAUAUGACGCGGCUUAUAGAGAACCCUUGGACGUAUCAAUUUGACAAUCUUGCAUAUCCUCCGGUAAGGAUUUAGUUGCGACUUACGGAUAACCUUUGAACUAUCAACUUUUGGGCGAUCUUGCACACUAUUCGAUUAGGAUGUUAUUAUGGCUUACGGAUGACCUACAGGAUAUCAACUCAUAGGUGAUCUUACACACUAUUUUAUUUCAAAUAAUAUGACUUAUAGAUGACCUUCAAAUUGUCAAUUGCUAGGAAAUCUUAUAUAUCAUUCAUCCUUAGAUAGCGACCAGAAGGCGUCCCUCCAAAUCGUGUGCUCUUAUUGUAUUCAGAUGCUGAUUUAUGAAAAGAUGAUGAUAUCCUCGAUGCCAGUGUUGUGUCUUGUAUGUCAAUAGAUAUAUUAAUUACUGAUGAUAUCCUCGAUGCCAGCGUUGUGUCUAGUGUGUCUACUGAUAUAUUGAAUACUGAUGAUAUCCUCAAUGCUGUUGUGUCUAGCGUGUCAAUAGAUAUAUUAGAUGCUGAUGAUAUCCUCUACGCCAGCGUUGUGUCUAGCGUGUUGACAGAUAUAUUAGAUACUGAUGAUAUCCUUGACGCCAGCAUUGUGUCUAGCAUGUCGACAGAUAUAUUGGAUGCUGAUGAUAUCCUCUACGCCAGCUUGUGUCUAGAGUGUCGACAAAUAUUGAAUGCUGAUCAUAUCCUCAACGCCAGCGUUGUGUCUAGCGCAUCAACAGAUAUAUAAUGCUGAUGAUAUCAUUGAUGCCAGCGUUGUGUCUAGCGCGUCAACAGAUAUAUAAUGCUGAUGAUAUCCUCGACGCCAGCGUUGUGUCUAGCAUGCCAACAGAUAUGUAAUGGCCUCUGUGGCAAUGAUAUGUGAUGGCCUUUACGGCAAUGAUAUGCAAUGGCCAUUGUGGCAGUGAUAAAAUCAUUUUACCUGGCUUCAUUUGUCAGUGUCCUACUUUUUACAUGUACCUGUAAUCAAGGUAGACGAUUAGUAGACACAAAGUUGCUUUUACUAGCGACUAUUUUUAGAAAACUUCUAAAUACAAUAUUCAUAAAGAAGACUAGGCGCAUUUGAUUGUCGCCUGUGAUCUCAAAAAAUGAGAUGGAUAAAUCAAAAGGUCCUCUGUUGUGGCUCCCAAUUUGCGCGAGGAUUUUUGAAAGAGACUCUCAUUUUUGUGUAUUGAUCCCUGCAUCCACAGAAAAAUGAUUAUUUUGAAUGAAAUUACUCCAUGUUGAUCUUCUUCGAUCCUCGAUUUGCUCCUUGCUAUCUCUCAGGCAUUCCGUCAUGUUGGGACUUCCACCCUGACACUCCAUCCCAAAUGAUGUAUAGGAAAGUACUAAAUAAGUGAGUCGUAAGAUUUUUGAAAAUAGACUUAAAUUUUUGAAAAUAAUUUUGAAAACUUCUGUAAAACUUUGGAAAAUCUCUACCAGUCAUGUCAUGUACUAGCUCAAGGAACGUCCUCCUCGUGGUUUUGAAUAUAUACGAUGGAUGGUUUCCAAAACUCAUGAUCAUUGUUGGAGGGUUUCUUCAAGUAGUUCUAUCAUAGCCAAAAAUUGAGUCUACCCAGACUUUAUUACAGUUGGUGGCUUCCAAAGCUUUAACCUCUGGUUCUAGGGAAUUUGGAAUAUGUUCCGGCAUUUGGUGGAAAUUUUGAGGUCUUUCUCAACAUUUCUUCCUUAGUUUAAAGUUGUUUGAGAUGAUACCAAUUCUAGUGGAUCUGAAGUCUUUACUGAUCUUCAUUCUCUUUGUUGGAUGUCGAUCUUCUCUGUUGAAUUUUUGAGAUUCCUUCUCUAAAAUUCUGCCCCAGUUUCCAUUUCCUGGGGUUAUAUGACCGAGCUAUUGGGGCACCUACGUAUCCCGUUGAAGCAGGAAUCAGGUCAAACAUAGUUCAGGACUACGCUAGGGAUAUAUAUAAAAAAUCUAAUGGAUUGACCGAAGCCGACAUAGGCCGCCUACCCGCCGACGUAGCCCUUGCUUGGGAAUUCAGGUCAAAUGUAGUUCGUACAUAAAGAGAAAGGAUUCUAGGCAGUUACACACUAGCAAACAACAUUAUUACAAAGGCGAUUACAAACAAACUAAGAAAACAAAAAAACUAGAACGUCAUUCAAACAUAAUAUCUCUUUACCGCAUCAGAAUUGAUUGGUUUGGUCCACUCUGUGCCAUCCAUCUCAGACAAAAUUAGAGCUCCUCCAGAUAGCACAUAGCGAACUAUGUAUGGCCUUUGCCAAUUUGGAGCGAACUUGCCCUUGUACUCCUUUUGGUGAGGGAAUAUUCAUUUGAGAACCAGUUGCCCCACUUCAAAUGCUCGAGUUCUUACCUUCUUGUUAAAGGCACGAACCAUCCUUUGUUGAUACAGCUGACCAUGGCAUACAACGACCAUUAUCUUUUCAUCAAUUAACAUGAAUUGUUCAUAGAGAGCAUGGAUCCAUUCUUCAUUACUCAGUCCAGCGUCCUGAAUAAUCCUUAGGGAAGGUAUUUCGACCUUAGUGGGUAUCACAGCUUCAUUCCCGUAAACUAGUAAAUAGGGAUUUGCUCCUGUGGAGGUUUGAACUAUUUUUCGAUACCCUAGCAAGGCGUAAGGUAACAUCUUGUGCCAUGAUCUAUCAUUUUUGACCAUUUUUCUCAAGAUCUUCUUGAUAUUCUUGUUAAUAGCUUCUAUGGCUCCAUUCAUUUGGGGACAGUACGAUGUCGAGUUAUGAUGCACAAUCUUGAACUGAUCACAAAUUUCUUUUAUUAAGUGACUGUUCAGGUUUGCCCCAUUAUCAGUAAUAAUCCAUUCCGGCACUCCGAAUUGGCAAAUCAAUUUAUUCCUGAUGAAAGCUGCAACUACUUUCUUAGUGACGGCUUUGUACGAAGCAGCUUCAACCCACUUAGUGAAAUAAUUAAUGGCAACCAAAAUAAAUCUAUGCCCAUUCGAUGCUAAUGGCUCUAUUGGUCCAAUGACAUUCAUGCCCCAAGCUACGAAAGGCCAAGGAGAAUUCAUUGCGUGAAGCUCGUAUGGAGGCAUUCGAAUCAGAUCUCCGUGUAUUUGACAUUUUGGACAUCUCUGCACAAACUUACUACAAUCAUUUUCCAUAGUCACCCAGAAGUAACCGGUUCUCAGGAUCUUUCUGCCAAGGACAAACCCAUUCAUGUAGGGCCCACAAACUCCAGCGUGUACCUCGUUUAUCAACUUAUUGGCUUUCGCCGCAUCGAUGCAUCUUAGGAAUCCCAAAUUAGGAGUCCUCCUGAAAAGAAUUUCUCCACUUGGAAAGUAAUUCUUUGCCAAACGCCGGAUUGUCUUCUUUUGGUUGUUACUAGCCUCUUCUCGAUAUAUUCCAAAUUCGAAAUACCUCUUAAUGUCAUAGUACCAAGGCCUUCCAUCAGGCUCCUCUUCCACGUGUAUGCAAUACGCGGGUUGCUCUUUCAGGCUUAUUUUCAAAGGAUCGAUGUAACUCUGAUCUGGGUGUUGAAUCAUGGAAGAUAUCAUGGACAAAGCGUCAGCAAACUCGUUUUGUGUCCGUGGAAUAUGUCUGAAAUCAACAUCCUUGAAUCUUCCACAUAAUUCUUGCACCAGCUUCACAUAAGGAGUAAUCUUGGAGUUUUUUACCGCCCAUUCUCCCAUUACCUGGUGAAUCAACAAAUCUGAAUCUCUAAUGGCUAGCCCGUUUCUGACACCAAAACUACUCCAAUUCCUGAACCUUUGAAGUUGACCUCCCCAUCAAAAAAUAGCCUCCAUCCAGGGUAGAUUUCCAUGAUAUCUUCUCCUACGAACAAAACAUCCUCAUUUGGAAAGUAUGUCCGAAGUGGCUCAUAUUCCUCAUCGACUGGGUUUCAGCCAAAUGAUCUGCUAAAGCUUGCCCCGUGAUUGCUUUUUGGGUUACUAUACACAAUGUCAAACUCACUCAGCAACAUUUGCCACUUGGCUAGCUUUCCUGUAGGCAUGACCUUCUAGAAUAUAUACUUCAAUGGAUCCAUUCUCAAGAUGAGGUAAGUUGUGUAGGACGAUAGAUAAUGCCUCAAUUUUUGUGCCGUCUAAGUCAAAGCACAAUAUGUCCUUUCUAUAAAAGUUUAAUGAGCUUCAUAUGGUGUGAACUUUUUACUCAAGUAGUAAAUGGCUUUCCCUUUCUUGCCGGUCUCAUCAUGUUGCUUGAGGAUGCAUCCAAAAGCAUUUUCUGAGACUGACAGGUAAAGCAAUAAUGGAAUUCCUUCUCUCGGUGGGACCAAAAUUGGUGGUGCAUAUAAGUAUUCCUUGAUGCGAUCAAAAGCUCUCUGACAUUCUUCUGUCCACUCAUUCAGUGCAUUUUUGUUUAACAUCUUGAGAAUUGGCUCGCAUAUGACUGUUGAUUGAGCGAUGAAUCUGCUAAUGUAAUUCAGACGACCCAGGAAACUCAUAGCUUCUUUCUUGGUCCUCCGCGGUGGCAAGUCUUAAAUUGUAUUGAUUUUGGAUGGGUCUAGAUCGAUCCCCCUUUUGCUGACUAUGAACUCCAGCAACUUCCCUUAUGGCACACCAAAAGCACAGUUAGCAGGAUUUAACUUCAAAGUGUACCUUCUUAAUCUGUUGAAGAAUUUCUCCAUAUGAGUUAGAUGAUCUGAACUCUCGCGGGAUUUGAUAAUUACAUCAUCCACGUACACCUCAAUCUCCAUAUGGAUCAUAUCAUGGAAAAUCGUCGUCAUGGCCCUCAUAUAUAUCGCACCUGCGUUCUUAAGACCAAACAACAUUACCCUGUAAUGAUAAACACCCCAGGGCGUAGUAAAAGCCAUUUUUCUGCAUUUUUCUCAUCCAUCAGUAUCUGAUGAUAGCCGGUGAAACAAUCAACGAAUGACUGCAUUUCAUGUUUCACACAGUUAUUGAUGAGAAUGUGGAUGUUGGGCAAUGGAAAAUUAUCUUUAGGACUGGCUUUCAAGUCUCUAUAGUCAACACAAAUUUGAAUCUUGUCGUCCUUCUUUGGCAGAGGGACAAUGUUGGUCAACCAUGUCGGAUAUUUUGUGACCUCAACAACCUUAGACUGGAUUUGUUUUGUCACUUCUUCCUUGAUCUUUAGACUUAAAUCUAACUUGAAAUCUCUCAUUUUUUGCUUGACUGGAUCAAACUCAGAAUUUAUCGGCAAUUUAUGUGACACAAUGCUGGUGCUCAAGCCUGGCAUAUCAUCAUAGGACCAAGCAAACACGUCGAUAUACUCCCGCAACAGGUGGAUGAGCUCUUCCCUUUGUGGCGCCGUGAGGUGGACACUGAUACUGGUCUCUUUGAUUUCAUCGUGAUCUCCCAAGUUGACUGUUGCAGUUUCUUCCAGAUUGGGUUUUUCGUGAUUUUCAAAUUCCUCCAUAUCUUCAACUAACCGUUCCUCGUCAUCGUUGAUAACGCUCAAUCUACAGCUCUCGUGGGAGUGUAAAGCGGUCGUUAGCAAAUAUAGAACCCAACCUGGGUUGGGUAUCGAUCCCACAGAGAAUAGCUUGGCCAACAAGCAAGAGAAAUUACUAGACUUUUAGUGCAAGUCUCGUAGGAAAGGGGGGAUUGUAGUAUGUAACCAAAACAAGAAGGUAAGAACUGAAAAUAGCAAAAUAAAGAGAGAUUGUCACGUGUGUUGUAAACAAUGAGAAUUGAGGCGUUGGGGUUAUGUCCACCUUCUGAGGUAUACGUCUCUAUUGGCUAUGAGUGUGUAGAGUCUUGACAUGUAAUUGCUUAUAGAGAAUUGUAGUCGAUGGUAAAUCCAAGCGUCUCUCGACCUAAACAAGGACUAUUUCACUUUAACUCUCUCGAGCUUAAAGCGUGACUAACGGUACGAAUUCUCCAAGAAGUUAGUCCAGGUACGGCACUAGCUUUUUAAUAGGAAAGGGUGUCCUACUACCUUGACAUUAUCUCUUUUCCAGACAAAUAACUUUUCUCUCGAACAAGUCAGAUGUUAGACUGGCGUUGGUCUAUGCGUCUUCUUUUCUAGACAAAUAACCUUUCUCUCGAACAGGUUAGAUGUUAGAAUGGCGUGUUCUUGUGUUUGAACCGCAAAGAAUGUAGAUUUAAGAUGAAGAGAAUAAUGAUAUAAGCAAUAUACUUGUCUUGAACUCACAAACUCAUAGCUAUAGAUAGUAACUCAUUCGGCUUCCAUAACCCCAACUAAGAGAUUUAGUUACCCAUGAAUGCGAAGGAUAUCACGCUUUGCAUGGUGGAUGGCGUGAAUAGUAGGUGUUUGGCGUGUGGUUUUAGUGAUUCCGUAGCAAGUAACGAUUCUCUUGUUGUGGAAUUUAAGAGUAGAAGAAUGAAGAAUUGAGAAUGGGUUGUAGGAAGAUGUCUUAAUUGUAAGGAGAUGAAUGAAUUGUCAGAAUGUCUCCCUUCUUGAAAAUCUCUAACAUGAUAGGGUAUUUAUAAUACUCCUAUCCUACUCCUACUAAACUAAUAAAAUAAAUAACCAAAUCCUAAUAUACUAAUGAAAUCCUUGACCCAAUUGUACUAGGGUAAGGUUACAAAAUUAUAAUCCAAAUAGAAUGAUGAAACACAUAACCUAAUUGCACUAGGUUAAUGUAUUAUGGCAAAAAUCCAGCUUUGUGUCUGUAAGUCCCAAAGUCUUCAGAAAUGCUGUUUUAGCCCGGGACAGAUUUUCCAUGCAGCAGAUUUAGUCCUUUAUGCGUCCAGCUCCUUUCCAUCUCGUUUGUGAGCUUUCUUUUGCGUCAAGUAAGCCAUAAAUUGCUGUAUUUUGCAUCAUUUAUACCUGAAACUUUCCUAAUCACAUUUGUUAGCUCAUUUACAGGAAAAAGGACUAAAAGUGUACGAAAUAGAUAAUUAGUUCUCGAAACUAGGCUAAAAUAUGGGCAAAAUAUAUUGAUAUAGGCGCGUAAUUUCGCCUAUCAUCAACACCCCACACUUAGAGCUUUGUUCGUCCUCGAACAACAUAUCAUGUCCUUCUAAGCAUUGACUUAAGGUUUUUACAGAAACAACACAAAACAUUCUUCAAGACAAGCACAACAAUUAUCAACGAAGAGUAGCUUUCCGAUUAUAAGUAGAAACAAUUUAACCUCAAGCAUAGACUCGUGAUGGUGAUCAACUCGCAUGCAAACGUUUAAGGUACAUAGAAUCAUAUACAACUAUCCAAAACUCAUCAACCAUGUGUGUCUCACAAUAUAGUACCCAUAAUCACUCACAAGUAUAGCAUAUUUUUCAAACAUGGGCAGCAAAGUAUCCUUGCGCUCACUCUCACAAAGAAUUCAUAUGUAGCAGCUAAUGACCAUAGGCUUGCCCUUAAUGUAGUACUCCACUAAAUGUCGGAAUGUUAAGGUUAGGAUCAAGUAGGUCUUUUGAUGGUUGUAAUGUAGGCUAAGGGACGGGUAGGAUCAACUAUUUUGGCCAGAAAUAGUGACUAAGUUCCUAAGCACUUUAAUACAUCACAUUGUAUUAUUGACACUUUUUUGUAGCACCCUUGUUCUCCUCUUUUGUUUUUCAAUUUUAAAGCACAACUCACUUUUCAGCUUUCUUUUCCUUUUUCUUCUCACAACAUACCUCUUAUGAUAGCACUUUCUUUUUCAUAACAUAUUCAAGCACCAUUACAAUUUAAAGCAUCAUACUCAACCAAUUUCCUCUUAUGUUGUCACAUGACUUUUUCACUUUAAAGCACUUAGGAAUUUGGAUCAAAUUACGGUCUUGAAAAAAAAAUGAAUUAGGCUUACAUACAAGGUUGUCAAAGAAAUAGGCUAAAGGCUCAAAAGGGUUUAACUAGGAUGAUGUCCAUGGGUAGGUAAAACUGAAGGUAAACAAAUAUAGGUUGCCAAAGAAAUGCCUAAAUCAUAUCCUAAACUUACACUCCUUAUUUUCGCUUUGCAUACAUACCAGGCAAGUUCUAGCAUCAGCCACAUACAUAGAAUAUACUAUUAUCUCACACACACAAGGCACAUGGUCGACUUGAUUGGUAGCAAUAUAGACUCUCAACCCAACAAGUGAAGGAAUUGAAUCACACACUAUCACAUAAUGAGUCACAACUAGAGCCUAAAUGUCUCAAUAGUCACAAUUGUAAUACAUACUAUUGUUAUAAUCUCAUGCUGCCUAUUAAAAUAAUUUCAUGCGAGGCUAGAAAAAUUUUAACUACUAAAAACUAAAAAAAAAACGUCACACGAAAAAAAUCACAAAAAAAAAUCGGACUCAAAACAAAAUAAAUAAAACAAAAUAAACAAGCAAACAUACAAAUAUAGCAUGCAGAUUCUGCCGACACCCCACACUUAGACUAGACACUGCCCUCAGUGGAAAAUAAAGUCGAAGAACCUGAUUAGUCGGACUCUUCCUCAAUGUCAUACCCCCUUCGUUCGAGUCAUCGUAAGAGUCAUCGUCAGAGUUCUCCUCAGCAUCAGAAUCAGGCAAGCGUCUAUCAUCAUCAGUUGGCACGUCAUCAUCAAGAGGUUCCUCGAAAUAUACUCCCACUCCACACAUCUCCCGGGCAUGUCUGUUCAUUGGGUAGUCGUGGUCCAGCUGUUGGAGCUCUUCAGCAGUUGGAAUACGUCCACCACUCAUCAUAGUGAAUCUCGUCAUGCCAUAGAGAUGACGGAAGAAACUCUCGUCACGAGCAUGUCUCUCCGCAGUGGUAAGGUUGACUCCAUGCGUUGUUUCAGCAUCUUUGACCUUGGUGAGGUCAACCUUCUUUGGGGUAUGUGGGAGUUUGUGGUCAGCUGGUUCCUCCUCUAUAUCCUCCUUCCGCAACAUUGCUGUCAACAAAUUGCCGAAUGUGAAAUAGGACCAUUCACAUUCACAUCAGUCUGGCUUUCCUCAUGGUGGAUCGAAUGAUUGCCCCAAAGUUGAUAGGGACAUUCGUCAUUAAUGAAUAAACCAGGCACACUCUAUCUCUCGAUAUCUUUGUGUAUUGCGUCCCAGGAAUGAGGCAUGAGUUGACAAUGCGCAUCCAGAUUCUUGCUUCCCUAUUUAGUGGAGCAUAGGGGAAUGUGUUGUGACGGCCUGUUUCCUUAUGUCUGCCCCAUCUCGCCAUCGAUCUGCUUCCACAAAGCGUGUGUCUUAUAGCUCUGUAAGGAGGUCUGCUGUACAGCUCUUUGUAUGGUGCAGUGUCGACCGAAGGUAGGCCUAGAAACGAGUUGAUCCAAUCCGCUGUAAGCUGUAACACUUGGCCCCGAAUUUUGACUUCGUUGCCUGUUGUGUUUGGCGACCAGUUGGCAUAAAACUCUCUUGUCAAGUCAAGAUUGCACUCUCCCAUGUCACGGAAGAUGAAAUCCAGCUUCAAAGCCAUAAUCUUAGCCAACAUUUGCGGCUCCUUCUUUGCUAAGGUCUCCUUAUUGAUUAAGUCGACGUGCACAUAUUUCUUUUCUUUGUUGCUGCUGUACCAUGCCUUGGCUUCUUCCUCAAGAACCCAUUUGAUUCCGAACAUUCUGCGUGGUAGGUGUGCGGAAGAUGAUUCGCCUUGGUCUUUUCGGCUUCUCUUUUUGUCCUUGCGGGUUGUGGUAGCCUUCUCCUUGCCUUGCCUUGCUUUCGGUGCCAUUGUACCGCCUUUACCAUACAACGCGACCAAAUCGUCAAUUGAAAUCAAUCUCCUCGUUGCAUACUUCUUACACCUAUAUUUGCUCAAACAAAUGAAAACGAUUAGUACGAUGGGUUGCCUCCCACCAAGCGCCUUAGUUUUGGUCGUGGCACGACUCUUAUUUUUGGAUUUUCAUUUAUCAAAAAGAAAAAAUACUAAAACGACAAAACGAUAAAACAAUAAAACGAAGGGUUGCCUCCCAUCUAGCGCCUUAUUUAUUGUCGUGGCUCGACGUAGUAAUCUCGAGUACUUAGACUUCGUCGAGAUAAGUGAUGGCCAUGUCAUUUAUCGAGUCAAGAGGACCGAUAUAUGGCUUAACACGUUGGCCAUUCACCUUGAAGAUAACACCCUCAUUAUUUUCCAAUUCGACUACUCCAAACGAGUAGACGUGGGUGACUUUAAAUGGACCAGACCACUUUGAUUUUAACUUACCUGGGAAGAGCUUGAAUCUGGAGUUAAAGAGUAGCACCAUGUCACCUUUUUGGAAGUGUCGUCGAACAAUCCGCUGAUCGUGAUACUUCUUCAUCCGCUCCUUGUAUAAAUCUGAUCUUUCAUAAGCAUGGAGACGGAAUUCAUCUAGCUCGUUCAGCUGCUCCAACCUCAGGUUCUUCACAUCAUCCCAAUUCAGAUUCAAGUGCUUCAAUGCCCAUAAUGCCUUGUAUUCAAGCUCGAUGGGUAGAUGACAAGCCUUCCCAUAAACUAGCUGAUAAGGUGACAUGCCAAUGGGUGUCUUGAAUGCAGUCCUAUACGCCCAUAGUGCAUCAUCUAGCUUCCGAGACCAAUCCUUCCGAUUCGCAUUGACCGUCUUGGCAAGGAUUUGCUUGAUCUCCCGAUUGGAAACCUCUACUUGUCCACUAGUUUGGGGAUGAUAAGGCGUAGCUACCUUGUGUUGCUUGACUCCAUACUUGGCCAAUACAGAUUUGAAUAGCUUGUUGCAGAAGUGAGAUCCUCCAUCACUUAUGAUAGUACGAGGUACCCCAAAGCGAGAGAAGAUAUUCUUCUUUAAAAACGCUACAACACGCUUUCCUUCAUUAUCGGCCAAUGCUACAGCUUCAACCCAUUUCGACACAUAAUCCACAGCAACCAAGAUGUACUUCAUUCCAAACGAAUUUACGAAUGGUCCCAUGAAAUCAAUACCCCAUACAUCAAAGAGUUCUACCUCCAGGAUUGUGGACAUGGGCAUUUCAUGGUGUUUUGAAAUAACACCUUGACGUUGGCAUUGGUCACACCUUCUCACAUAGUCGUGUGCAUCUCUGAAUAUUGUAGGCCAAUAAUAACCACUUUGCAAGACUUUUCUUGCUGUUCGAUUACCCGCAUGAUGUCCUCCAACUUGCGAAGUGUGGCAUGCUUCUAAUAUAGUGGGCACUUCGUCAUGGGAUAUACAUCGUCGAAUGAUACCAUCCGCACAUCUUCGAAACAAAUAAGGCUCAUCCCAAUAAUAGUGCUGAACGUCAUGCAUAAACUUCCUCCUCUGGUGGUAAGAUAAAUUUGUAGGUAACACAUUACUCACCACGAAAUUCGCAAAGUCGGCAUACCAUGGUAAGUCUUCUAUUGUUGUCGCUAAUAUCUCCUCGUCAGGGAAUGCAUCGCCAAUCUGAUUUUCUGAUUGCGCCACAUACUCAUUCUCAAGUCUAGAUAGGUGAUCAGCCACUUGGUUCUCGCAACCUCUUCUAUCUUUGACUUCGAAAUCAAACUCUUGCAGCAGCAACACCCAUCGAAUCAGCCUUGGUUUUGCAUCCUUCUUUGUCAUUAGAUACCUAAGAGCUGCAUGGUCUGUAUGAACGAUCACUUUAGUACCUAAUAGGUAGGCGCGGAACUUCUCAAACGCAUACACAACCGCUAAUAGCUCUUGUUCAGUGACGGUGUAGUUCCUUUGGGCUUCAUUGAGGACCUUACUCGCAUAGUAGAUAGGAUGAAAUAAUUUCUCCUUUCUCUGUCCAAGAACAGCACCAACGGCUACACCACUAGCAUCACACAUGACUUCGAACGGGAGCGUCCAAUCUGGUGUUACCAUGAUAGGGGCUUCAACGAGUUUUUCUUUAAGGCAUUCAAAUGCCUUUAAGCAAUCAUCAUUAAAGUCAAACUUCGCAUCUUUCUCCAAUAGCUUGCAUAAUGGACUAGAAAUUUUGGAGAAGUCUUUGAUGAAUCUACGAUAAAACCCAGCAUGGCCAAGAAAACUACGAACUCCCUUCACCGAAAUUGGAGGUGGUAGCUUCUCAAUUACCUCUAUUUUGGCGCGAUCAACCUCUAUUCCUUUUUCGGAGAUCUUGUGCCCAAGAACAAUUCCUUCUUUUACCAUGAAGUGGCACUUCUCCCAAUUCAGCACAAGGUUGAACUCUACACAUCUUUGUAAUGCCAUGCUUAAAUUCACCAAACAUGCUUCGAAAGACUCCCCAACAACUGAAAAGUCGUCCAUAAAUACCUCCAAAGUGUCUUCUACCAUAUCAGAGAAAAUAGACAUCAUACAUCGCUGAAAGGUGGCUGGUGCAUUACAUAACCCGAAUGGCAUACGUUUGAAGGCAAACGUACCAUAUGGGCAUGUAAACGUUGUCUUCUCUUGGUCUUCUGGUGCAAUAAAAAUCUGAUUAUAACCUGAAUAACCAUCAAGAAAGCAAAACCAUCCUUUUCCCGCUAAUCGAUCUAGCAUUUGGUCCAUAAAUGGCAUGGGGAAGUGAUCCUUGAGAGUCCAAGAAUUCAGCUUGCGGUAGUCCAUGCAUACUCUCCAUCCAGUGACGGGCCUGAGUGGAAUAAGCUCAUUCUUUGCAUUCGCAACCACCGUCAUACCUCCUUUCUUGGGAACACAUUGUACUGGGCUUACCCAUGUACUAUCAGAAAUAGGAUACACAACUCCUGCGUCUAACCACUUGAUAAUCUCCUUCUUCACCACCUCUUGCAUUGGUGGGUUUAGACGUCUUUGGUGUUCGAUGGUGGGUGUGCACUUUUCUUGGAGCUGAAUUUUAUGAGUGCAAAUUCCAGGUGGAAUACCAAGGAUAUCCGCAAUGGUCCAUCCAAUAGCUCUAAUAUACUUGCGUAAAAUUGCAAUAAGAGCUGCAACUUGUUGCUCACCUAAAUCGGCUGCCACUAUGACUGGAAGAGUGUUUCCGCUUCCUAAGAAUGCAUACUUCAAAUGGCUUGGCAGCUCCUUUAAUUCUAAUGUGGGUGGUUCUUCAAUAGAUGGCUUAGCUGGUGGUGUGGGUCGAUUCUUGAGAUCAAGAUCCAGCUUCUUAGGAGGAUAGCGAUAUGCUCCUAAUCCCGAUAGAGCACAAAUAUCAUCUUCAGAAAUUUCAGCAUCAUCAUCAUCUUCUUCCAUGAGCAAAACCUCCAAAGGAUCAUCAAGAAUUUGUUCUUCAGCAAGUAACUCAUCCUCGUCAUCAACGACAACAUCAGUCACAGAAAAUACACUUAGAUCUUUGGGUUGCUUCAUUGAUUUGCAAACAUCAAAGCGCACCACUUCAUCAUUUAUUCGGAAUGAAAGUUCAUUAGCUCUCAAAUCUAUGAGCACACUUCCCGUAGCAAGGAAAGGGCGUCCCAAGAUUAUGGGAACCUCUGAAUCUGCUUCGCAAUCCAAGAUGACAAAGUCUGCUGGAAAUAUGAAUGAAGAUACCUUCACCAAGACAUCGCAUAGAAUACCAACCGGUCGUUUUACCGACCUAUCCGCCAUAACAAGCUUCAUAUUAGUUGGUGUAGGAUCUCCCAACCCCAACUUCUUGUAGAUUGAUAAUGGCAUCAAGUUGAUGCUGGCUCCUAAGUCACAUAAUGCUUUAGCAAAGUCCAAAGAUCCGACGGUGCAAGGAAUAGUGAAAGCUCCGGGGUCGGCCUUCUUCUGAACUAUGGAUCGGGUAGCUAUUGCACUACAAUGAUGCACAUCUUCUUUCAGCUCAUAGCUUGCUGCCCUCUUCUUAGUCAAAAGAUCUUUCAUAAACUUCGCAUACCCAGGCAUUUGUUCAAGUGCCUCUACCAAUGGGACAUUAAUAGUCAGCUGCUUCAAGAUGGUCAUGAACUUGCUGAACUUAGUGUCAUCGGCCGCCUUCUUCAGUCUUUGUGGAAAAGGUGGUGGUGGGUAUGGAAGUGUUCUUUCCAUGGCUUUCUUCUCCUCUUGCUUCCGUUUAUUACUUUUUUCAGGCUGCACGUCACUAGGCAACACGUCCUUGACGUUGGAAGUGGAUAUUGCGGCGUCUUCCCUAGUGGCGUCACUAGGUGUGGCGGUUGUGUCUGCUGUUCUGUCAACUAUUUGCUUGCCUUCUGCUGAAGUUUCCAGCACCUUACCACUCCUCGUAGUGAUGGCCAUGCAUGACCCAUCAGUCCUUGGAUUUUGCACCGUAUCGCUAGGCAAGGUGCCGGCUUUUCUUUGGUUGAGUGUUGCUGAAAGUUGACUGAAUUGCUGCUCUAGUUGCUUGAUAGAAGUGGAAUGAGAAUCAACUAAUUGCUUCAUGGAGGCCAAAUCGUCAAUCACCUCCUUAACUCCCGCAUUCGUCGCUUCCACUCCUUUCAAUAACUUAGCCAUCAUGUCUUCCAUAGAAUUAGAUGUGGUGGUAUCACGUCUACCAGGGGGAACGUACAAACCACUGUUUUCAUUAUUUUUCUUCCAACUACCUUGGUCUUUACCUCCAGAUUUGUCAUAAUAGUUCCGACCUUGGUUUCCUUGGGCAUUCCCACGGAAACCCCCCUGAUUGUUCAAGUAGUUGGCCUCCUCUUCUGAAUCAGAUUCGUCUCUUCCUUUUGACGCAAUAGAUUUCACUUUUUCAGUCUUCCCUAAUAGAUGCUUUGUAAGAAGAUCCAUUUGGGUUUUCAUGUGCGCCAUAUCUUGAUCACGUUCUUCUUCUCUCCUUCUUUGAUCUGCAGACAUGCCAAUAGAUAAAGUGGGGCUUGCUACCUCAGAAUCCCUGGUAUGCCAAGCUCUACUUUGUUUCGUCAUACGAUCUAGCAUGUUGCUUGCUUGACCAAAGGUGAGGUCCAUAAAAGAACCUCCAGCUGCGUUGUCCACCACUGGUUUAGUUACUGAAUUCAAGGCUCUAUAUAAGAUCUCCAUGAGGUGAACAUUAGUCAUGUGAUGGUUUGGGCAUCUCGCUAGCUUUGUCUUGAACCUCUCCCAUGUUUCGUGAAGAGCUUCAGAGGGAAGCUGACGAAAGUUGCUGAUUUCAUCUCUCAAUUGAGCCCUCUUGGAUGGCGGAAAGAAUCUUUCUAGGAAAGCGUCUCUCAAUUGCCUCCAAUUUGUAAUAGAAUCAGGAGUCAGCCCAUUCAACCAUAAUGUUGCCUCCCCAGACAGAGACAAUGGAAAUAGACGUAAUCGAAUAGCAUUCUGACCAACUCCAGGAUUGUCAAAAGACUUGCAUGUAGAAAUAAAGUUGAUGAGAUGCAUAUUCGGAUCAUCGCCUGCUAGUCCACCAAAUAAUCCCUUGAGUUGCAAUAACUGAAUCAUGGUGCUAGUGAUGUUGAACUUGGCUCCGGGCGCUAAUGGUGGUGGAAUUAUAGCUCCAGUGGCUCCGGCACCAUCAAGAUCAUCAUCAUCAUCGUCGAAAGCUGGUUGCAAAGGUUGGCGAUCAUAUCUGUACCGAGCUUGUCGACCUCGUCUGUUGGUAGGUGUUGCCAUUUCAGCGCCAUGCCUUGGGUUGAUCAACUCGUCAUCUCCUAAAUCUUCAUCGUCAGGAUUUGUUGCUCGUCCAGGAUUAUCAAUGUUUUGUUGUUGGACUUGAGCAGCGGCAAGAGCAGCUAAUCUUGCUUGCUCAUGUUGAGCAGCCAUCCUGUCGAUUUCCGCUUGUGCUUCCAUUCUUCUGAUUCGUUGUGGUUCCGGAUUGAUUGGUAAUAACGGUUGACCAGAACUUCUAGUAUGGGGCAUGCACUAAAAGAAAAACCUGCAAUAAACAAAAACAAAAACUAAACGUAAAAGUACGAGAAUCUUUGACCAAAGGGUCUAGUAAUUUUCACGAACUUGAUUGACACUCGUAUUCCCCGGCAACGGCGCCAAUUUUUGAUAACGCUCAAUCUACAGCUCUCGUGGGAGUGUAAAGCGGUCGUUAGCAAAUAUAGAACCCAACCUGGGUUGGGUAUCGAUCCCACAGAGAAUAGCUUGGCCAACAAGCAAGAAAAAUUACUAGACUUUUAGUGCAAGUCUCGUAGGAAAGGGGGGAUUGUAGUAUGUAACCAAAACAAGAAUGUAAGAACUGAAAAUAGCAAAAUAAAGAGAGAUUGUCACGUGUGUUGUAAACAAUGAGAAUUGAGGCGUUGGGGUUAUGUCCACCUUCUGAGGUAUACGUCUCUAUUGGCUAUGAGUGUGUAGAGUCUUGACAUGUAAUUGCUUAUAGAGAAUUGUAGUCGAUGGUAAAUCCAAGCGUCUCUCGACCUAAACAAGGACUAUUUCACUUUAACUCUCUCGAGCUUAAAGCGUGACUAACGGUACGAAUUCUCCAAGAAGUUAGUCCAGGUACGGCACUAGCUUUUUAAUAGGAAAGGGUGUCCUACUACCUUGACAUUAUCUCUUUUCCAGACAAAUAACUUUUCUCUCGAACAAGUCAGAUGUUAGACUGGCGUUGGUCUAUGCGUCUUCUUUUCUAGACAAAUAACCUUUCUCUCGAACAGGUUAGAUGUUAGAAUGGCGUGUUCUUGUGUUUGAACCGCAAAGAAUGUAGAUUUAAGAUGAAGAGAAUAAUGAUAUAAGCAAUAUACUUGUCUUGAACUCACAAACUCAUAGCUAUAGAUAGUAACUCAUUCGGCUUCCAUAACCCCAACUAAGAGAUUUAGUUACCCAUGAAUGCGAAGGAUAUCACGUUUUGCAUGGUGGAUGGCGUGAAUAGUAGGUGUUUGGCGUGUGGUUUUAGUGAUUCCGUAGCAAGUAACAAUUCUCUUGUUGUGGAAUUUAAGAGUAGAAGAAUGAAGAAUUGAGAAUGGGUUGUAGGAAGAUGUCUUAAUUGUAAGGAGAUGAAUGAAUUGUCAGAAUGUCUCCCUUCUUGAAAAUCUCUAACAUGAUAGGGUAUUUAUAAUACUCCUAUCCUACUCCUACUAAACUAAUAAAAUAAAUAACCAAAUCCUAAUAUACUAAUGAAAUCCUUGACCCAAUUGUACUAGGGUAAGGUUACAAAAUUAUAAUCCAAAUAGAAUGAUGAAACACAUAACCUAAUUGCACUAGGUUAAUGUAUUAUGGCAAAAAUCCAGCUUUGUGUCUGUAAGUCCCAAAGUCUUCAGAAAUGCUGUUUUAGCCCGGGACAGAUUUUCCAUGCAGCAGAUUUAGUCCUUUAUGCGUCCAGCUCCUUUCCAUCUCGUUUGUGAGCUUUCUUUUGCGUCAAGUAAGCCAUAAAUUGCUGUAUUUUGCAUCAUUUAUACCUGAAACUUUCCUAAUCACAUUUGUUAGCUCAUUUACAGGAAAAAGGACUAAAAGUGUACGAAAUAGAUAAUUAGUUCUCGAAACUAGGCUAAAAUAUGGGCAAAAUAUAUUGAUAUAGGCGCGUAAUUUCGCCUAUCAUCAAUCGUCCUUCCAACCAUCAUCGUCCCCUUCAUUUUGUUUGUUCAAACUUUGACAUGACACAAUAUUGGCAGGUUUUAAGCUACUGUUACUGUAAUGGAAAAACAAACUAAGUUAGAUAAUAAGAAAAUAACAAAACAUAUGACUAGGAGCAUUUUAGAAUUAAUAUAGUUUUCCAAAUAAAUGAAGGCCUUUUCAUUGAAAUUUAAGAAAUAAUUACAACACCAUAGCUUGUGACUUGCACAAAUACAAGCCCACGCAUUUUUUGAAAGCAGUAAGAUAUGAAAAUAAAGUUUUGAGAUAUAAAAGGUGGAUCAUGGGGCCUCCUCCAGAUCAUCACUGAUUUCAAAACUAUUAGUAAUUGCCCUUUCAUCUACCACGACGGGCGACGGGUUAUAAGUGGAGUGGAGGUCCAAUUUUGCAAAGUCUUCCCUGGCACAAUCUGCUUUACCCCACUGGACUCUAGGAGAUCUUCUGGUACAACAUUGCAUCCUUUAAACAAAUCUCCUAUCCCAUCCCCAAGACCAUCAUCAUCUGACAUCUCUCGUACGAGAAAUGACUAGAACAGGAGUGGCAAGGGCCUAAACAGACUCUUUUCUGGAUCAUCCUCAACCCUAUCUUUUCUGGUAGGCUUAUACCCUAACCCAUUCUUAGAGCUUCUCUCUGGGAUCAUAAUAGGCUCGAUAAUUCCUUGUAAAUUCUUGUCCAAGCCUCGAUCAGGUUCGAACCCAUUUCUUAACAUCAUAGUUGCAAUUAUUUUGUAGACAGAAAGCAUUGAUAUUUUGGGUGUCAAAUCUCUUUCCACAGUAUUUACAAUUUCAACUGUAUAUAAACUGCUACUUUUUGGAACAUCUUCAAUCACCGGCAUAUAACCAUUGGGAUGGUCCGCUCUACUUCCUUCUCCUUGGAUGACUACUUCAUUAUCUUUCCAAAUAAACUUCAAUAAUUAAUGAAGGGGUGAUGAAAUUGCCUUUGCCCUGUGUAUCCAUGGUCUUCCCAAAAGCAGGUUGUAGCUAGGAUGUAUAUCCAUAACAUUAAACUUAGUCUUAAACUCAGCAGGACCUAUUUGGAUGUGCAAAUCAAUCUCUCCUAUGGUAUCUCUCUGCCCUCCAUCGAAUGCUCUCACAUUUACGUGGCUUUGACAAAUUUUCCCCAGAUCAUAGCCCAUUUGGACCAGUGUUGAGAGGGGACAAAUAUUUACACCAGAUCCAUCGUCUAUUAAUACCUGAUUAAUUGCAUAAUCUCGAUAAAUGAUGGUGACAUGCAUGGCUUUAUUGUGCAUUGCUCCUUCAAACGGCAACUCUUCAUCACUGAAUGAUAUGCGAUGGUUCUCCACAACGUUCCCUAUCAUCACAGCCAAAUUCUCAACGCUCGUUCCUACGGGAACAUACGCUUCCUCUAAGACCUUCGACAAAGCCUGUCGGUGGUGUUGCGAGCACAAUAAUAGUGCCAAGAUAGAGAUUUGGGCUGGCAUUUUCUCCAAGUGUUUGAAAAUUGAGUAAUCCUUUGGUUGCAUAUGCCUCUAAAACUCCUCAGCCUCUCCUUCAGUGAUUGGCCUUUUCUGUGAAUCUUUCUUGUUGGUCAAUUCCUCAGGGAUGGAACAUCGUCCUGAUUGCGUCAUCCCCUGGGCAACGGCGGUUUGCACAAUAAAUUUCUUCUUUGGAGAGGGAGCAUACACUUGAGUCUAUGCAUUCCUCACUAUAAAUGGGGCUUUCUCGCUGAUACUUAAGUCAGCCAUAGCUUUCUCUAUCUUUCUUACCUCUUCUGCCCUUUUGCACUUUUUGGAGUUCACCUGAGUAAUGGUCUUGCCAGAUACCCAUUCUCCUUUUAUUUCAAUCAUGUUAACUGUAGAUCCCCAUGGUUGGGCAGUGGAUUACAGCUAACAUUUAGAGUAGGUGCCUGGAGCGUGAUGACCUUUUGAUCAAUCAGAUCUUGGAUUCUGUGUUUCAAGAUAAGAUAGUCCUCAGUACUAUGCCCUACUACCCCUGAAUGAUAGGAACAAUUUUGAUCAGGGUGAUAAAAUCGAGAGCUAGGAUUGACAGGCUUUGGCUGUACUAGUUGCAAAUGACCAGUAUUCUUCAAUUUUUCAAACAAUUAGGUGUGACUUUCAGCUAGUGGGGUGAAGUUUUGGGGAGGUUUCUUUUCGUGGUUUGGACGUUGGGGGUUAUACAGGCUUAGGUUUGUAGGAGGGGGUACUUGGUGGUAAUUUGGAGGUGUUUGGAAAUUUGUUCGGCUAUUUGGGGGAGUAGUUUGGAAAUGAGACUGAUAAUUUGGAGGUGGAACUGGGUAUUGGGAAAGAUAAUUAGCUGUGGAGCUUGGUAUGAUGGUGGCACGUUUGGGAGUGGAGUUUGGUAUUAGGGGUGGACGUAGAAUGUGUGCGAAAGAUUAGGUGAUGGCGGGGAAGAUAAAACAUUUCUAGAGUUGAACCGCUGUUUCAAUUUUAUAACAGAAUUGGUAGAAACCCCACCUACCUCUUCCUUCUUCUUCUUAGAAAACAUGGCAAUUCCAAAUGAUGUUGGGGUUUUGGUAAUUUUUCCUGUCCGAAUACCUUCCUCUAAUGAUUCUCCUAUUUUUACCAAAUCUUCAAAGGUUGCUUUGACAGCGGACACCAUCCUAGUAUAAUAUUCUCCUUCUUGAGCGCGAGAGAACACGGAUACCAUUUCCUCCUCAGGCAUGGGGGGCUGCACUUUGGCAGCUUCUUUUCUUCAAUGAAAAGCAUAAUCUCAAAAACUCUCAAUGCUCUUUUGUUUAAUCCAAUCUAGUGAAUACUAAUCAGGGACUAUUUCAAUGUUAACUGCGAACCGGUCAAGGAAACUCUUGGCCAAUGUCUUCCAACCAGUCUACUUUUUCAGCUCCUGAGACAUGAACCACUCCAAGGCUUCACCAUUCAAACUUCGACUGAAUAUGCGCAUUAAUAACGCCUCAUUUUUCCCUAUCCCUACUAAUUAUUUGCAGUACCUUCUUAGAUAGGCCAUUAGAUUUUUGGUACCGUCAAACAUCUCAAACUUAGGGACCUUGUAUCCUUCUGGUAGGUCUACUCCUGGGUGAACACACAAAUCGUCAUAUCCCAAACUGUCGUGGUCCUUGGCCCUGUGAGACUCUUUGAUCCUCAUGAUCUUUUCUUCCAUGACUAGUAAAUUCCUUUCAUGCUGGGCCCUCCUUCCUUCUUCUUCUCCUCGUAAUGGUCCAUCUUGGGGUUAGAAAAGGGUUCAUAAAUAUCAGGGGAUAUCAUGGCUUAAGGGGGAUUUGGAAGGAAGGCUUGAUUUUGCAGAUGGAGGGAAUUUGGUUGGUAAGUGGGGAGAACAUUUUGGAAAUUGGGAAGAUUAUGUGGGCCUUGUAAGUAGUUUGGCGGUAGGUUUGCCGUAUUUUGUUGAUUUGGGAGUAAAUCUUGCGGAUUUGGGAAUGCAUUUUGUUGAUUUGAGAAUGUGUUUUGAGGGUUUGGCAAUGUAUUCGAAGACGGGUUCUGUGGGGUUGCGGAUGGAUUUUAUGGAUGGUAGGCGUCUAGAUUAUUUUCACGAUUAGUGUUUUGGACAAAUGGAGGAGCAGAUUCGUAUAAUACAUUAGUUGGUUGGUCCUUGAGAAUAGGGAUACUGAGGGGAGGGAUUUGGAGUGGAGUCCCGUGUUCCCCGGGAGCAGGGGCAUUGACGGUGAUGGCCAAGUUAGCCAAUUCUUGAGUACGAUUUAUUUCCUCCUGAAGCAAUUCUAAUUUUCUUGCAGGUUCCGCAAUCAUCUCAUUCUAUUUCGCUAUCACAUUAUCCUGGAUAGUCAGUGCCCUUUCUUCGUCAUUUCUUGUCAUUUUUGAAUGAUGGUCUGAGGAUGGGAUUUUCUGUGCUUUCGAUCGGGUGAAGUAGGGAUGUUCUACCAGUUUAUCAACACAGAGUAAUUUUUGUUAUCUGCAAAGAAAAACAACUCAAAGGCAAAUGUGUUAGUUUCCGUAUGUGAUAAGUAAUGCAAAAUAUUUGACAGGAAAUGAUCACACAGAGUUGUUCGAGUCAUAGCCAAAUUCAUCCGUAGGUCAUAGUGGAUAAACUUGACUUUGAUCUCAACCAAUGCAUAUAAGCACAUAAAAUAGUUAUAUCACACAAGACAUUAAAAUAACGCGUAUCCUAAUUGGGGUGACCCUUUUUGAGCCAAGGGUUCAGGCCUAACAAUUUUUUGAAGAAAAUAUAUGCUUCCUCAAAGUCAAUCCAUUAACCCCCAACUCAUAUAGACACAAAAAGGGCAUAAAUGCCUACAAAAUAUAGUGAAACAGGGAUACAAUUUUUAGGGAAAAGGGGAAAUAACAUGCAAGAAGACAAGUUCCCAUGCAGGGGAGAAUAGAAAAGCUAGCUACUGGAGGCUUCUUCGUCUACUUUUUCCUUCUUUGCCUUGUUUACCUCAUGUGCUAUUUGAUACCUAUUGAUGAUAAGGUGACUUGCGCAUAAUUGUGCCUUGCAGUCGUAAGUCAUUUCUCCUAUGUUGUCGAGUUGGGAAGCCAUGCUAUCGUCCAAAUCGAUUAGGCAUUGCCUGGUAUUAUCAACAUCUUGCCUAGCUCUUUUCAACUCUUCCCUCAAUGUAUGUAUGGUCAAAGCGUCUUCUAUGUGCAUCUAUCGGUGUGCAAUUUUACUUUUCUGGAACUCAUCUUGUAGCCUGUGAAGCCAAAUUUGAUGCUCGAAUUCUACAUCCACAACCCGAGUGGGCACAUUUGGUCCCGGAUUCAAUGCUCCGAUGAGGCUCUUUUUCAACCACUCCUUGUAAGUGUCGCUGACUCCAGGUUCAUACCCUAUACGAAAAGAGACUUCUACCCACUUUUUCCUUCUCCAUCCAUUUAUCAUGUAGUCUUUGAGCGAAGGCGUACUUUCAUCAUAUUCGGUGAAGAAUUUGAGCAUAGAAUUGAUUUGAGGCAUCUCCUGCUUGAUCUCGAAUUGCCUAAAAACUCUGCCAGGAUUGUAGGGGAGGGUUCCCUUGAGACCCGGGAGCACUAAAAAAGGCCAUUCGCCCCCUCGAAUGAUGUAUUUCCCUGAACGAAGAUAGUUAAGGGACCAUUGGACAUCGCCAUAUCUUAAUUCUCCAAAAGUCUUAAACCAAAAUUCGUGGGAUGCUUCCCUUUUGAACUUGUGUAAAAAUAACCACAUGUCGUACGAUUCUAGCAAAUUUCUCUUUGUUUUGUGAUCAGGUUGUGCCAUUCUAGGAUUUUUCACCAAAUGCAUCAUCAUCCACCAUUGUAAUAUAAGGUUGCAGCCUUGAAAGAAACGAUUCUCAACUUGACAUCUUCCCAAAGUGUGAUAUAUGUCGGCGACAAUCAUGGGGGAUAAGUUGUGAAAUACUUUUUUAGAAUUGUAUUCCAUUCCAAAGAAGAGUGCAUGGGUCACUGUGACAACCCUUGGAUGAAUUGUGCCAUUUUCCCCUUGCGGGAACACCAUGGUUCCAAGUAGGCCUACCGCGAAUUCAAAAGCUCUCGUUUCCUUCCAUUUUGCUUCCGACUCCAAUUUAUGCCCAAAUUUGUGAAAAGAGUUGAAUCUUCCGAACCGAUAGUACAACUCACGAAAAGUGAUAUUUGAUCCAUCCCGUUCUCCUAUCCAGGUGUCGAUAUCAGUUAAAAAUGAUUCCUUGAUCUUUUGACGAUCCCACACAUCCGGGACUAAAAUAUGCUUAUCUGGUGUCUCCUUUCUCUUAAAACACAUUUCCAUACUCUCGUAGAAAAUUAAUACCUCUUCAAUGGUGGGUUCAAUUCAACAUCCCCGAAGUGAAAUACCAUGUUCUGAUCAUCCCAAAAAGUUGUUAGUACAUGGAUCAUUUCGGGCCAAACGUCCAUCUCAAUCAAAGAAGGAAGAUGCCCAAUGUGUGUUCUAACAAUCUUUCUGUCUUCUUUACCCAUGUAAUCCCACCAUAGUUUUAGGUAAUCGUUAGGUUUGGUAACCAUCUUGAACUUUUCACGAGAAUGCAAUUGAGCCAUAUCUACAUAAAAGAAGACAAAAUAAGCCUUUCCCCGACCCCAAAGGAUAAUGGAUUGAAUUUAGACAAGCAUAUAUUUCUUCAACACAUAAGCAUAGUUCGUCUGUGAUUGACUCGGGGUCAAAUAGACAUAGGGCAGGUUUUCUAAUGGGCCGAAUACCCCGCUCGGAUAUUGGGUUAUCCUACACACAUGCCUAAAAUAAGGUUUUGGUUUUGUUCUAUCCUCGGUGUCUAGAGGGGACUUGGACACUAGUUCUCAAGUGGACAAUUUAAGUUUGAAAAUAUGAACAGCGUCAGACGACUCACGUGCUGAUAAGCUGUUCGUAUUUCCAACACAUUUUGGAAUUGAACAACAAGGAUCGGGACAUCCACGAAACCCCAAAACAGUUUAUAAAAUGCAGAAAUGCCAUGAGAAGCGAUAAUUAAACUUUACAUAAUCGAAACACAUAAACACAUAAACAGUUAAUCAAAGACGAAAUAAAACAUUUGGUUAGAACCUAGUUAGAUCCUCAGCAGAGUCGCUAUUUUUGUUUUGCGGAGAAAUUUUGACUCUUUGAAGAUAGAGUCGCCACUUAAUUUUAAAAAGGAAUUAACAAACCUUAAACACUUUAAACGAUCCAAAAUAGACAAAUCGCUCAAGUUUUGAAGAUUCUGAGUAAGUGGUUCUUAUUGACGUUUUAGGAAGGUGUUAGGCACCUAAAACGUCCGCUAACUUGCGGUUAUCCGGACUGUUUGAAAAUGUCUUUUGAUUGACUUCAAAAAAGAUUAAUUUUACUGAAAAGUAGUUAAUUACGAAAAGGUUUUGCAAAAUCAAAAUUUUAGCGACUUAGUUAGGGGAAUCAACUAGAUUCGUUAGAAACACGUCAAACAAAUAAGCAAAAGGAAAAAGGGUUUUAAGCCCAAACCGUCGACCCUAUCCUAAUCUAGUUUUCAAGCUUUCGGCUUGAGUAUCGCUCCACCUGUAUUAAGUAAAACUUUGGCUUCGAGGCCUAAAUGAAUAAAUAAAAUAAAUAACUAAAUAAAUAAAGAAAACAAUACCAAGAGAAUAAAUAAAAUGGAAACCAAGACUUUUAAGUCUCUUGAACGCUUCAAUGAUGGGAUUUUAACCCAUUAUUUUAUUUCGGCUCUUCAUAUCCAAAUGCCAUGUAGCCGACUUUAGAUUUUUCUUUCGGACUUGACUUGAUGAGAAGCGCCUUAAUGGCCCAUUAUAAAACAACGCAAGGUGAAAAAGUCCGUUUGGACUCCAAGGUGGUGUCAUGAGAAACAAGAAAAAUAAAGAAUAUUAAUUCAUGUCCACCAAAAGAAAAAAAAAAGAAAAGGAAAAGGAAGUAAGUCAAUACUUGAUCAUCUGAAGUAAGUUAAUACAUGGUCAAUCAAAGCAUGAAAAGCAAUGUGGAGAAAAUUAAUUCAUGGUUAACUAAAGAGGCAACGUUAUAUGAAUCCUAAUAAACAAUCGGAAACUAUUGGAAAUACAAGACAUGUUUAGAUUAAUUAAUCAAAGAAAGACCAUAUGCAAUUUAAAUGUGGAUUUCGCACAUUUAAGGAAACGAAAGAAAGCAUAUUUGAAAAAAAAAAAACUUUCUAACUUGGACUAAUCAAUUAAGCAUAUGAAAUACAGUAAAAUCAAAUUCAAUGAGACCAACUAAAAGCAAAGGGAAUGGAUAUUUGGGUGAAAUUAAUUUGGUCCCCGAAUAAAGACCCGUGUUUGGCAGUACAUUCAUGCACUGGGUAAGUCAAAACGAAAUACAUCGAAUGACUUGACACAUUCAACGGAUUCGAGUAUGUUUGAUAAUACGAUGCGAAAGAAAGAAAAAAAAAUAAAAAUAAAAAAUAUCAUAGGAAAGCCUUAAAUUAAAAGUAGUGAACCCAAUACUUAACCAGAUAAUUCUCAUACUAACACAACAAGUCAAAUCCUCUAAGUUGAAAUAGUAAGCUUAUACUUGCAAUAUUUAAAAUCAAAUGGAGGACUGAGAGGAGGAUUUGAUUUGUGGCUACUGAAAAUGCUUUUUUUUUUUUGGCACAAUACUACUAAUAGAAUUUUUGAAGGAAAACUUCUUUUGUUGUAAAAGAAUAGUCAUUCUACUCAUAAUAUUUAAGAGACAUUCCGGGUCAAUUACCUAAUGUGCUCAUAUUCCAAAAGCCAAAAUAUCCGUCAUACUUUAGUAAAGAGAAUAACACACAUAACUCACCAAGAUAUAUGUAUAACUCAUAACGUGCCAUAUGCCUUUCUAUUUAAAACUCCCAAUUUCGUUGUAAAACACGUAACAAAAGAAAUUGUCUUGAUGAACGACUAAUAAUUAGUACAACAUUAUUCGAGCCAUCAAGUCAUUCUCUCAUUUACACAAAAUCAGUCAACAAAUUUCCCUCAAGAUACUAAUGAAUGUUGUCAAUUAAGGCUUAAUUCCAUAUUCAGAUCAAACGAAAUGUAUAUGUAUGAAAGAACAACCUUUCAAAUAAAACCAUAAUUUGCACAGACGGUGUAUUAAACAAGUUUACAUAGAGAAAAAGAGAAACUCGUGAAACCACAAGUAAAACAAACUAAUAAGAAAAGUUUCUUUAAGCAAACGCCAAAUUGAAAAUACUAUAGCCUUCUAUGGCUCCUACAGCACAUAAUCCCAGCAUACAACACAAUAAUUGAAAUCAUACUACGACUACCAUGAUUGCAUCGUGACAGUAAAAAUGAAAGAGAAUAGAAGACUAACCCGAUGUUGGGCAGCAAAACGGGACUCGAGAUAUCAGUAAAAUUGUCACCACGGGGAGCUAAUAUUGCCGACUCGGGAAUUCCCAAUCAAUCGACUAGCUUCCCAGAAAAGAAUGAACGAGAGAAUUUUUGCGAAAUAAACUUUUACUUUCAGAAUUUCCUAAAAUUUAAACCUAGCUUUGGAAAUAGUAUCCCCAAAAGAAGCCUCCCAAUUUUCGAACCAUCCUUUCAAACUAGCCUAUAAAUUUCUCCUUUAGUUUCUUUCAAAACCUCUGAAUCUUCGACCUAAACUUUGAACUAAAAUACUCAUUCCUUUCUCUCAGACCUCAAAAAUUCAAACCACAAAAAUGACGCAGAAGAAAACCCUUCCCUUUUCAAACCUCCCCCCAUUUUCGACUAAUUUAUUUAUUUAUUUUUCUAAGAGCCUAAAAUGAGAAAAUCCUCUUUCAGAAGAGAAAGAAGACCACUAAAAUAGAGGCGCCAGGAUCCUUUAUAUAGAAGAAAGGGUUGGGGCAUUUUUGAAAUUCGAAAGAAGGAAUUUUGAAUUCCAAUUCCAAAAUCUCCCCCCCCCCCCCAUAACCUGUUUUCAUCCAUCAAUUGUACCCUUUUUUGUUGUUUCUCAUGAAAUCCAAAAAUGGAGUAGCCAAUAGAAAGCACUUCUUCCCAAGAACCAAUGAGAAAUCUCCACCAACGUACGAAUUCGUACCAUGGUACCCAAGAUUCAUGGGAUUUGAACGUUGGGGUGAGCCAACUCACCCAUUUCGAGAAGCUUUCUCAAAUUUCCAUGGUAAACAC
Molecule: long non-coding RNA, 28971 nt
Filed under: Capsicum annuum
Lineage: Eukaryota; Viridiplantae; Streptophyta; Magnoliopsida; Solanales; Solanaceae
Description: long non-coding RNA (CANN_LNC003591)
Source: RNAcentral